Molecule: microRNA, 23 nt
Filed under: Rattus norvegicus (Norway rat)
Lineage: Eukaryota; Metazoa; Chordata; Mammalia; Rodentia; Muridae
Description: rno-miR-297
Gene: rno-miR-297
Source: miRBase by way of RNAcentral
AUGUAUGUGUGCAUGUAUGCAUG